Long non-coding RNA from Coturnix japonica (Japanese quail), 1786 nucleotides. Lineage: Eukaryota; Metazoa; Chordata; Aves; Galliformes; Phasianidae. The record is from Ensembl.
AUGGGGCAGCUAGGGGCUAGCUAUGGGGCAGCUAUGGGGCAGCUAAGGGGUGCUAUGGGGCAGCUAUGGGGGCUGCUAUGGGGCAGCUUAUGGGCAGCUAUGAGGGCUGCUGUGGGGCAGCUAGGGGCAGCUAUGGGGCUUGCUAUGGGGCAGCUCUGGGGGCAGCUAUGGGGCUGCUAUGGGGCAGCUAUGGGGGCAGCUAUGGGGCUGCUAUGGGGCUGCUAUGGGCAGCUAUGGGGCUGCUAUGGGGCUGCUAUGCGGGCAGCUAUUGGGGCUGCUAUGGGGCAGCUAUGGGGCUGCUAUUGGGGCAGCUAUGGGGCUGCUAUGGGGCAGCUCUAUGGGGCUGCUAUGGGGCUGCUAUGGGGCAGCUAUGGGUCUGAUGUGUGUCUCUCUGUCUCUCCCCAUAGCUGGAGGUCCUUUAGCUGUUCUAUGGGGCGGGCUGGGCCCCGAGGCGGGCGCUGCCGUGGGGCUGUGCUCGUUCCUUGGGGCCGCAUUCGCUGCCGCAGCCGCAGCUUUGGGGGCGGCCGAGCUGCUGACGGUGUACGUUCUCCCCCCGUCGGCCAUGUUGCCGCUGUCCCGGCUGAACAGCGGCCGCAGUUACGGCUCCGCCAUGUUGGUUCUAUUGGGGCUGGGGGCGGCCGCCCCACACGGGCCCCACGUGGCCUCAUUGGGCCCCAUUGGGGUGGGGCUGACGCUGCUGGCGCUGCAGGGCGGGGCCAUCAGAGCCGCCAUGACGGGAACCAGGAACGGGUAAGGGCGGAUAAUGAGAUGCUAAUGACAUGCUAAUGAGAUGGUAAUGGGAUGAGAAUGAGAUGAUAAUGGGAUGAGAAUGAGAUGGUAAUGGGAUGAUAAUGGGAUGCUAAUGAGAUGAGAAUGAGAUGAUAAUGAGAUGGUAAUGGGAUGAUAAUGAAAUGCUAAUGAGAUGGUAAUGGGAUGGUAAUGGGAUGAUAAUGAAAUGCUAAUGAGAUGAUAAUGGGAUGAGAAUGAGAUGCGAAUGAGAUGAUAAUGGGAUGGUAAUGAGAUGCUAAUGGGAUGAUAAUGAGAUGAUGAUGGGAUGCUAAUGGGCCCCCAAUGUCACCCCAUAAGGCCCCAAUGUCACCCCAUAGGGCCCCAUAGGGCCCCAAUGUCAUCCCAUAGGACCCCAAUAUCACCCCAUAGAACCCAGUGUCACCCCAUAGACCCCAAUGUCACCCCAUAGGACCCCAAAAUCACCCCAUAGGACCCUAAUGUCACCCCAUAGGACCCAAAAUCACCCCAUAGGGCCCAAUGUCACCCCAUAGGGCCCAGUGUCACCCCAUAGGGCCUCAAAAUCACCCCAUAGCCCCCAAUGUCACCCCAUAGGGCCCCAUAGGACCCCAAUGUCACCCCAUAGACCCCAAUGUCACCCCAUAGGGCCCCAAUGUCACUCCAUAGGACCCUAAUGUCACCCCAUAGACCCCAAUGUCACCCCAUGGGACCCCAAAAUCACCCCAUAGAACCCAAUGUCACCCCAUAGGGCCCCAUAGGAUCCCAAUAUCACCCCAUAGCCCCCAAUGCCGCCCCAUAGGGCCCCAUAGGACCCCAAUGUCACCCCAUAGGAUCUCAGUGUCACUCCAUAAGACCCCAUUGGACCCCAAUGUUACCCCAUAGGGCCCAAUGUCACCCCAUAGGGCCCCAUAGGAUCCCAAUGUCACCCCAUUGGACCCCAUAGGACCCCAAUGUCACCCCAUAGGGUCCCAAUGUCACCCCAUAGGGCCCCAUAGGAUCCCAAUGUCACCCCAUUGGACACCAUAGGACCCCAAUAUCA